RNAcentral lists this ribosomal RNA (499 nucleotides) under uncultured bacterium. RNAcentral describes it as "partial 16S ribosomal RNA". It matches the Rfam family "Bacterial small subunit ribosomal RNA", at positions 28 to 507 of the family's 1533-position model. The record is from RNAcentral.
GACGAACGCUGGCGGCGUGCCUAAUACAUGCAAGUCGAGCGAAGUUUUUCUGGUGCUUGCACUAGAAAAACUUAGCGGCGAACGGGUGAGUAACACGUAAAGAACCUGCCUCAUAGACUGGGACAACUAUUGGAAACGAUAGCUAAUACCGGAUAACAGUAUUUCUCGCAUGAGAGAUAUUUAAAAGUUGGUUAUGCUAACACUAUGAGAUGGCUUUGCGGUGCAUUAGCUAGUUGGUGGGGUAAAGGCCCACCAAGGCGACGAUGCAUAGCCGACCUGAGAGGGUGAUCGGCCACACUGGGACUGAGACACGGCCCAGACUCCUACGGGAGGCAGCAGUAGGGAAUCUUCCGCAAUGGGCGAAAGCCUGACGGAGCAACGCCGCGUGAGUGAAGAAGGAUUUCGGUUCGUAAAGCUCUGUUGUUAGGGAAGAAUGGAUAUGUAGCAACUAUACAUGUAAGAGACGGUACCUAACCAGAAAGCCACGGCUAACUACGUG